This 61-nucleotide transfer RNA is filed under the name Heterocephalus glaber (naked mole-rat). It matches the Rfam family "tRNA", at positions 6 to 65 of the family's 71-position model. Rfam says of the family: Transfer RNA (tRNA) molecules are approximately 80 nucleotides in length. Lineage: Eukaryota; Metazoa; Chordata; Mammalia; Rodentia; Bathyergidae. The record is from Rfam by way of RNAcentral.
UGUAGUUCAGUGGUAGAGUGCUUACCUGGCAUGCAUGUGGCCCUGGGUUUCAUUCCCAGCA